RNAcentral lists this ribosomal RNA (495 nucleotides) under uncultured bacterium. Its description in RNAcentral is "partial 16S ribosomal RNA". It matches the Rfam family "Bacterial small subunit ribosomal RNA", at positions 28 to 507 of the family's 1533-position model. The record is from RNAcentral.
GACGAACGCUGGCGGCGUGCCUAAUACAUGCAAGUAGAACGCUGAAGGAGGAGCUUGCUUCUCUGGAUGAGUUGCGAACGGGUGAGUAACGCGUAGGUAACCUGCCUGGUAGCGGGGGAUAACUAUUGGAAACGAUAGCUAAUACCGCAUAAGAGUAGAUGUCGCAUGACAUUUGCUUAAAAGGUGCAAUUGCAUCACUACCAGAUGGACCUGCGUUGUAUUAGCUAGUUGGUGAGGUAACGGCUCACCAAGGCAACGAUACAUAGCCGACCUGAGAGGGUGAUCGGCCACACUGGGACGGAGACACGGCCCAGACUUCUACGGGAGGCAGCAGUAGGGAAUCUUCGGCAAUGGACGGAAGUCUGACCGAGCAACGCCGCGUGAGUGAAGAAGGUUUUCGGAUCGUAAAGCUCGGUUGUAAGAGGAGAACGAGUGUGAGAGUGGAAAGUUCACACUGUGACGGUAUCUUACCAGAAAGGGACGGCUAACUACGUG